UUAAGCGACUAAGCGUACACGGUGGAUGCCCUGGCAGUCAGAGGCGAUGAAGGACGUGCUAAUCUGCGAUAAGCGUCGGUAAGGUGAUAUGAACCGUUAUAACCGGCGAUUUCCGAAUGGGGAAACCCAGUGUGUUUCGACACACUAUCAUUAACUGAAUCCAUAGGUUAAUGAGGCGAACCGGGGGAACUGAAACAUCUAAGUACCCCGAGGAAAAGAAAUCAACCGAGAUUCCCCCAGUAGCGGCGAGCGAACGGGGAGCAGCCCAGAGCCUGAAUCAGUAUGUGUGUUAGUGGAAGCGUCUGGAAAGGCGCGCGAUACAGGGUGACAGCCCCGUACACAAAAAUGCACAUGCUGUGAGCUCGAUGAGUAGGGCGGGACACGUGGUAUCCUGUCUGAAUAUGGGGGGACCAUCCUCCAAGGCUAAAUACUCCUGACUGACCGAUAGUGAACCAGUACCGUGAGGGAAAGGCGAAAAGAACCCCGGCGAGGGGAGUGAAAAAGAACCUGAAACCGUGUACGUACAAGCAGUGGGAGCACGCUUAGGCGUGUGACUGCGUACCUUUUGUAUAAUGGGUCAGCGACUUAUAUUCUGUAGCAAGGUUAACCGAAUAGGGGAGCCGAAGGGAAACCGAGUCUUAACUGGGCGUUAAGUUGCAGGGUAUAGACCCGAAACCCGGUGAUCUAGCCAUGGGCAGGUUGAAGGUUGGGUAACACUAACUGGAGGACCGAACCGACUAAUGUUGAAAAAUUAGCGGAUGACUUGUGGCUGGGGGUGAAAGGCCAAUCAAACCGGGAGAUAGCUGGUUCUCCCCGAAAGCUAUUUAGGUAGCGCCUCGUGAAUUCAUCUCCGGGGGUAGAGCACUGUUUCGGCAAGGGGGUCAUCCCGACUUACCAACCCGAUGCAAACUGCGAAUACCGGAGAAUGUUAUCACGGGAGACACACGGCGGGUGCUAACGUCCGUCGUGAAGAGGGAAACAACCCAGACCGCCAGCUAAGGUCCCAAAGUCAUGGUUAAGUGGGAAACGAUGUGGGAAGGCCCAGACAGCCAGGAUGUUGGCUUAGAAGCAGCCAUCAUUUAAAGAAAGCGUAAUAGCUCACUGGUCGAGUCGGCCUGCGCGGAAGAUGUAACGGGGCUAAACCAUGCACCGAAGCUGCGGCAGCGACGCUGAUGCGUUGUUGGGUAGGGGAGCGUUCUGUAAGCCUGNNNNNNGAAGGUGUGCUGUGAGGCAUGCUGGAGGUAUCAGAAGUGCGAAUGCUGACAUAAGUAACGAUAAAGCGGGUGAAAAGCCCGCUCGCCGGAAGACCAAGGGUUCCUGUCCAACGUUAAUCGGGGCAGGGUGAGUCGACCCCUAAGGCGAGGCCGAAAGGCGUAGUCGAUGGGAAACAGGUUAAUAUUCCUGUACUUGGUGUUACUGCGAAGGGGGGACGGAGAAGGCUAUGUUGGCCGGGCGACGGUUGUCCCGGUUUAAGCGUGUAGGCUGGUUUUCCAGGCAAAUCCGGAAAAUCAAGGCUGAGGCGUGAUGACGAGGCACUACGGUGCUGAAGCAACAAAUGCCCUGCUUCCAGGAAAAGCCUCUAAGCAUCAGGUAACAUCAAAUCGUACCCCAAACCGACACAGGUGGUCAGGUAGAGAAUACCAAGGCGCUUGAGAGAACUCGGGUGAAGGAACUAGGCAAAAUGGUGCCGUAACUUCGGGAGAAGGCACGCUGAUAUGUAGGUGAAGUCCCUCGCGGAUGGAGCUGAAAUCAGUCGAAGAUACCAGCUGGCUGCAACUGUUUAUUAAAAACACAGCACUGUGCAAACACGAAAGUGGACGUAUACGGUGUGACGCCUGCCCGGUGCCGGAAGGUUAAUUGAUGGGGUUAGCGCAAGCGAAGCUCUUGAUCGAAGCCCCGGUAAACGGCGGCCGUAACUAUAACGGUCCUAAGGUAGCGAAAUUCCUUGUCGGGUAAGUUCCGACCUGCACGAAUGGCGUAAUGAUGGCCAGGCUGUCUCCACCCGAGACUCAGUGAAAUUGAACUCGCUGUGAAGAUGCAGUGUACCCGCGGCAAGACGGAAAGACCCCGUGAACCUUUACUAUAGCUUGACACUGAACAUUGAGCCUUGAUGUGUAGGAUAGGUGGGAGGCUUUGAAGUGUGGACGCCAGUCUGCAUGGAGCCGACCUUGAAAUACCACCCUUUAAUGUUUGAUGUUCUAACGUUGACCCGUAAUCCGGGUUGCGGACAGUGUCUGGUGGGUAGUUUGACUGGGGCGGUCUCCUCCUAAAGAGUAACGGAGGAGCACGAAGGUUGGCUAAUCCUGGUCGGACAUCAGGAGGUUAGUGCAAUGGCAUAAGCCAGCUUGACUGCGAGCGUGACGGCGCGAGCAGGUGCGAAAGCAGGUCAUAGUGAUCCGGUGGUUCUGAAUGGAAGGGCCAUCGCUCAACGGAUAAAAGGUACUCCGGGGAUAACAGGCUGAUACCGCCCAAGAGUUCAUAUCGACGGCGGUGUUUGGCACCUCGAUGUCGGCUCAUCACAUCCUGGGGCUGAAGUAGGUCCCAAGGGUAUGGCUGUUCGCCAUUUAAAGUGGUACGCGAGCUGGGUUUAGAACGUCGUGAGACAGUUCGGUCCCUAUCUGCCGUGGGCGCUGGAGAACUGAGGGGGGCUGCUCCUAGUACGAGAGGACCGGAGUGGACGCAUCACUGGUGUUCGGGUUGUCAUGCCAAUGGCACUGCCCGGUAGCUAAAUGCGGAAGAGAUAAGUGCUGAAAGCAUCUAAGCACGAAACUUGCCCCGAGAUGAGUUCUCCCUGACUCCUUGAGAGUCCUGAAGGAACGUUGAAGACGACGACGUUGAUAGGCCGGGUGUGUAAGCGCAGCGAUGCGUUGAGCUAACCGGUACUAAUGAACCGUGAGGCUUAACCUU
This 2907-nucleotide ribosomal RNA is filed under the name Escherichia coli. Its description in RNAcentral is "23S ribosomal RNA". It matches the Rfam family "Bacterial large subunit ribosomal RNA". Lineage: Bacteria; Pseudomonadati; Pseudomonadota; Gammaproteobacteria; Enterobacterales; Enterobacteriaceae. The record is from RNAcentral.